RNAcentral lists this long non-coding RNA (682 nucleotides) under Pongo abelii (Sumatran orangutan). RNAcentral describes it as "lincRNA". Lineage: Eukaryota; Metazoa; Chordata; Mammalia; Primates; Hominidae. The record is from RNAcentral.
ACAGAAAGGAAACAGAGGCUCAGAGAAGCUAAGACAUUUGCACAGGACCACAGCUGGGCUGAGAAGAAAAAUUGAAUACUGAUGAGAAGGAAGAUGGAUAGAAGACAGAGAUAUGCAACUGGGACUCUAACACAAAUGCCAUUCUCCCUGGGAAGGGACUAGCCCAGUCAGCAGCCACCUCACUCCAUGAGUUGGUUCUGAGGCCCCCUCUGUGCCAGGCAGCUCGGGACACAAGGUGAAUUAGAUCCAACCUCACAGCCAUGUGAGGCAGAAGAGUGACAGAGGCUCUGUCACCAGAAGAGCAAGCAUUUGAAUGGGCUGUCAGAUGGAGAGCCCUAGCUCUUUCUGUUCUAGGUUCCCUCCCUCUGCUGCAGUUGGGAGAGGCUGGGCUGGGAAGCCCACAUGAGCCGUUGCAGCUCCCUGCAAGGGACUCUCACCUCCUCUCUCAGGCCUCCUCUCCCUGGGAUCCUGGCCUGGCCCUUCACACCUUUCUCCAACUCCAUCAUGACUGCAGGCUUUGGCCUUCUCUCAGGAAAAGAAUGAAUUUUUCUCCACAAAAUUCUACAAUCUCUUCCAGUCUCUCCUUUUAGCUACUCUCAUAUCCAUUCACCAAAGUGAUAACAGAAGACCACAAGUCAGAUGACUCACAUAUUCACCUAUUCAAUAAACACUCCAGAGCAUU